Small nucleolar RNA from Echinops telfairi (small Madagascar hedgehog), 132 nucleotides. RefSeq annotates it as small nucleolar RNA SNORA42/SNORA80 family. The transcript has a single exon. Lineage: Eukaryota; Metazoa; Chordata; Mammalia; Afrosoricida; Tenrecidae. The record is from RefSeq and is a predicted model, not a curated record.
GCACGGGUUUGGAUUUGAGGCAGGUCUGAUCCCGUGGGCCUCUCACAGUGUCCUAUGCAAAAGCCAACUCAUCCUGAACCAUUGCCUGGCUUUACCCCGCGGGUUUCAGGCACUGAAGUGGGCUGCACAGUG